Molecule: long non-coding RNA, 3662 nt
Filed under: Gallus gallus (chicken)
Lineage: Eukaryota; Metazoa; Chordata; Aves; Galliformes; Phasianidae
Source: RNAcentral
CUCCAAUAAAGGAUGCCUGCUUCCAAACUGCCUGCAGAGAAUAUUCACUAUAGUCUCACCUUCUUCUUCUAUGAUGUUCCUUCCUAAUCCUGCCCUGCAAUUCAUUUUGCAUUGCCUGUCGAGUUGCAAUGGAAUUCCCAUGAUGUUUUCACUGACUGCCUGGGCAGCAUCCAUCAGAGAAAUGGAGCAAGGAUAUGUUUCUACAGAAUAAAGCGGUCUGAAAUGCCCUGCUGUCACAGCACAAAACCAAGAGCACCUCUUCAUCUUCCCUCCGGCCAACGAAAGGGGACAGGAUUUUCAGUGAAACCCAGAUGUUGCUGUGAGUAUAUGUGUGCAUUUAUUAACAGAUAAUAGUGGAGGACUGCAAUUUAUAUCUGCAGAAGCUGAAAUAAUUAAGGAGGGUUGGGUAUUAAUGGAUGUAUGUUUUGAACAAUCUCAAAAACUUCUUUGUGUGGAAAAUUAAGAUCCUUGCUGAUAUUGAAAUAUCUCAGAUUGUUGUAAACCCAUGUUUCUAAUAUUUUAACUGGGAAUCACUUUCAUGGUCCGGCACUGCUGAUGCUGCCCCUUCAGAAGCCAGAAAAUGUCAGAUAUCUCAGUAUUUUCAGGAUUGUUUUGUUCCCAUUCAGGCUGACAGACAAAAAGGAGGGUUCUGAGGGAAGCUCUUAUUUCCUCCCUUCCCAUCUCCCUUUGCUCUUGGAAUAGCACCAUUGUACAGCACCGUUAUGCCAAAUUUUUUACAUAGAGACAGACUGGCCUGUCCCACAUUGUCAUUUCGACACUGUUUUUAACAAAGAUGUAUUUUCUGAGGAUCAUGUUUGAGAAUAAAUGGCUUUGGGUCUAGCACUAGUAAAAGAAGAAAAGCAAAUCCAAAGAACCCACUCAUUGAGUUCAGAGUAGCUACAGGGCAAUGCUGCAUCUUGCUUUUUAGGUGAAAUCUGCAAUUUUGUUUAUCCAGAGCAAUCUGUAACAGCUCUAUGGUAAAGCUGCUUUGAGGUUUAGUUUUGAAGUUUACUGCUCCCAGUUUUCAUUUAUUCCAUCAUAAUACAUGCAUAAAACAUUUUUAUUAUGUGGAUAGUAAUUUGCAUGAGCACGAGGACUUUAGCUCAAAUGCUCAUGAACAAGACUGUUCUUCAGUCGGGUCAACUGGAAGUUAUUCUGCUUUACUACAGGGCUUUCAGUUAAUUAAAUUCAAAGAACCUGUUCAACUGCUAAGGCCUGUUAUACUCCAGAUAAGGAAAAAAAUACAUUUUUUCAUCAGUCUCUGGGGACAGACACUGCUGAUGCUCCUCCUGCUGUAGCCACAAUACAGUGGGCCACAAUACAAGUGAAAAGGAGGAAGAAUGUCCUGCCCAAAGUAUUUCAGUGGGACAUACACGUCUGUGAUGAACACAGAAAGGACUAUUCAGAUGCAUUGUGUUAUAUGGAAUGAACUACAUUUCUGAUCUUCUAAUGCAAUGAAUAUUGUGCUCUGCAAGUAAUGUAAUUAACACAGGAAAAGAGGAGUGAACUGCAUUUACAGUAGAAGUGAACUUUACCUAAAAUUAUCAUUUCAGAAAAUUGACUGUUCUUCUAACUGUUGGUAAUUAUUUUUUCCUUUUUUUUCUUGAGUUCCUCUUUAUUUGGAUAGGUAAUAAAAUUAGUUUUGAUCCUGCACACUGAAGGAGAAACCCUAGUGGCCACAUUCUGACUCUACUUGAACUAGUGUAGGAGCUCAUACGGAAAAUUAAGUGAAAAUCAAUUAACAGUUGCCCCGGGCAUUUGAAACAAAUGCCAGGAAUCCCUAAAUGUUUCUCAGUUCUGUAUAAAUCAUAGCUGACAAGUGGUGGUAUCUCUGCUUCCACUGAAAAUUUGCUUUGUUACAGUGAAAAUUCUUUUAUUAUAUAUAGUUGCUGAUGUACAUAUAUAUAUGUAUUAACCGUCUACAUUUUCUCAUGUGCAUCUUCCAUAAAUCUCCUUUUGAGUCUCUUCCAAAGAAACUAACCUAUGCUUUUGAAGAAAAGAUGACUACCUGGUUGAAGAAAAGGAGUAAUGGAGAACACAUUCUUCAAGGUAUUUGAUAGUAUUCACUGCACCAUCAGGAGAUAUCUUUGUUUGGUACAAAGUGCUAAAGCCUUAAAAGACUAAAGCCGAACAAUAAUGAAUAGAACUGAUUUCCCAUCUUUGGAUUCUAGAGUGCUGACAUGGGAGUUUGAAGACGGUGGAAGGAAUUUAUGGACUGUAUUUACUGAUGUAAUUCAAUAAUUAAAGAUAAUUGUACAAUUUCUCUUAAGCUUGUUGAAAUUCAAGUUUUCUUUUGCUUUAGGCACGACCCAAAAAAUGUAAUAAUAUUUACCAUACUACCUAAUUUAUGUAUGUCUUUAAAUAGUUUACAAAGUGAAUUGAUAAUACAAAAAGUACCCAAAAUCAGAGAGAGAAUUUGUACAGAUUUAUACAAAUCUACGAACUUGAAAAGCCUGCCUUUGUCUCAGAACUUCUAUCUUUGUUUCAAAGAGAGAAACUGGUACAUUACGUAGAUAGGAGAAAAGGAACUGAAGGGUAUAGAUAAAGGAGAAAUGAGCUUAAAGCCUAAGGAAGAGGAAAAAAAUAUAUAAUACAAUCGGAGUGAUCAGAGAUAAAGAACAAGAAAAAAUCAUCAAGAGAUUUUUCUUGAAAGAGGAGGUAGAAUGGAGAUGUAUUUUGUAGGCUACUCUGUUGGAUUAAAGAAGGCCUGAAAUGAAAAGGUAUGUGCAACAAAGGCGUGAGGCAGAUGGAAGGCUUCUCUUCUUAUUUCCUAAGGCUGAGGGCUUCCAGUCCUUUUUGCAUUUGGCUAAUUGCAAAGUCUGCAAUCUCAAAGGGUCACAAUCAUUUUCAGCUUUUGCUGGUGAGAGACACAAAGCAGACAACACUGCACGUUGCUCCUGCUAUAAUAAGAUGUCAUUUCAUCAGGAGGAGUAGACAAAAGGAUAGAUCUUCCUCUUUCCUCUUUUCCUCUGUUUUGCUUUGGGAUAUAACAUUCAGUUUCUCUCUCCAGUUUCCUACAACAUCACAAGGCCAGUUUUUGCUUUGAACUUCAGUAAUAUCAAGUACCUUCCAUGUAAAUGGUGCUUGAGAUAUAAGCGUAUUGCAUGGCCUCUGAGAAACCAAGACCACAUGGAAACUGUUCCCCCCCAAUUUCUGCCAAUAACGUCAGAUUUUGCAUUGCUUCCCCAACAAGAACUGCCCUGUAUCAGAGGCCAGCUUUGUGCAGGGGCUGAUGGUUCUGUAUAGUUUGUGUUUGUGAGCCAUCAAAGGCUUUGAGUGGGAGAGAGGAAACGAUGAAGGAAACCUGGAAUCUGUGCCCAUACUGUUGCAACCUUUCUGAGUUUACUUUAAGAAUCUUUAUCCAGCUCUUCAUCUUUUCACUUUGAUCACUGUAACAUCUCUUCACCUUGGUUUCUAGCUUUUUCCUUUCCCCACACCAUCAAUCUGCACAGAUGCUGCUUUUUCCAGUCAGAGCCUCUUUUGGCAUUUUUGCACUUUACCUCCAUCUUAUUUCUGAACUUCUGUUUCUCUUGUUGUCCCUCGGUGACUGUGUUUUUGCAUGCUGUAGAGAUACUCAAUGCUUUUUUUUUCUGUGCCAUGUCCUCAUUCUAUUCUAUGACCUCUUUUGUGCUGCCUGUACUCCAGGAGUGCUGAGACAAACA